UACGUAGGGGGCAAGCGUUGUCCGGAUUUAUUGGGCGUAAAGAGCGUGUAGGCGGCCAGGUAGGUCAGCUGUGAAAACUCGAGGCUCAACCUCGAGACGCCGGUUGAAACCAUCUGGCUAGAGUCCGGAAGAGGAGAGCGGAAUUCCUGGUGUAGCGGUGAGAUGCGCAGAUAUCAGGAGGAACACCGGUGGCGAAGGCGGAUCUCUGGGCCAUUACUGACGCUGAGGAGCGAAAUCGUGGUGAGCGAACAGG
RNAcentral lists this ribosomal RNA (253 nucleotides) under uncultured bacterium. Its description in RNAcentral is "partial 16S ribosomal RNA". It matches the Rfam family "Bacterial small subunit ribosomal RNA", at positions 524 to 776 of the family's 1533-position model. The record is from RNAcentral.